UAGUCCACGCCGUAAACGAUGCUCACUUGUUGUCUGCGAUACACAGUAGGCGACUAAGGGAAACCAUUAAGUGAGCCACCUGGGGAGUACGUUGGCAACAAUGAAACUCAAAGGAAUUGACGGGGGCCCGCACAAGCGGAGGAACAUGUGGUUUAAUUCGAUGAUACGCGAGGAACCUUACCUGGGCUUAAAUGUAUAUUGCAUUAUUUGGAAACGAAUAUUUCUUUCGAGACUAUUUACAAGGUGCUGCAUGGUUGUCGUCAGCUCGUGCCGUGAGGUGUCGGGUUAAGUCCCAUAACGAGCGCAACCCCUAUCGUUAGUUGCCAUCAGGUUAAGCUGGGGACUCUAACGAGACUGCCACCGUAAGGUGUGAGGAAGGUGGGGAUGACGUCAAAUCAGCACAGCCCUUAUGUCCAGGGCUACACACGUGUUACAAUGGCCGAUACAAAGAGCAGCCACCUGGCGACAGGGCGCUAAUCUCAAAAGUCGGUCUUAGUUCGGAUCGGAGU
Molecule: ribosomal RNA, 509 nt
Filed under: uncultured bacterium
Lineage: Bacteria
Description: bacterial SSU rRNA
Rfam family: Bacterial small subunit ribosomal RNA
Source: RNAcentral